CUACGGGUUGCUGCAGUGAGGAAUAUUGCGCAAUGGGGGAAACCCUGACGCAGCGACGCCGCGUGGAUGAUGAAGGCCUUCGGGUCGUAAAAUCCUGUCAGAAGGAAAGAAGUGUAUGGUAGCUAAUAUCUGCCAUACUUGACGGUACCUUCAAAGGAAGCACCGGCUAGCUCCGUGCCAGCAGAGCCGCGGUAAUACGGAGGGUGCAAGCGUUGUUCGGAAUUACUGGGCGUAAAGCGCGCGUAGGCGGUUUUAUAAGUCAGAUGUGAAAGUCCACGGCUCAACCAUGGAAGUGCAUUUGAAACUGUAAGACUUGAGUAUUGGAGGGGGUAGUGGAAUUCCCGGUGUAGAGGUGAAAUUCGUAGAUAUCGGGAGGAAUACCGGUGGCGAAGGCGACUAUCUGGCCAAAUACUGACGCUGAGGUGCGAAAGCGUGGGGAGCAAACAGGAUUAGAUACCCCCGUAGUC
This 467-nucleotide ribosomal RNA is filed under the name uncultured bacterium. RNAcentral describes it as "partial 16S ribosomal RNA". It matches the Rfam family "Bacterial small subunit ribosomal RNA", at positions 339 to 795 of the family's 1533-position model. The record is from RNAcentral.